CAGCCGCCACGGUAACACCAGCAGCCCAAGUGGUGGUCGCGAUUAUUGGGCCUAAAGCGCUCGUAGCCGGGCCGGUAAGUCCCUUGUGAAAUCGGACGGCCUAACCGUUCGGCGUGCAAGGGAUACUGUCGGUCUUGAGGCCGGGAGACGUCCGAGGUACUCCGGGGGUAGCGGUGAAAUGUUCUGAUCCUCGGGGGACCACCGGUGGCGAAGGCGUUCGACGAGAACGGGCCUGACGGUGAGGGGCGAAGGCUAGGGGAGCAAACGGGAUUAGAUACCCCUGUAGUCCCUGUCUCUUAUU
Molecule: ribosomal RNA, 301 nt
Filed under: uncultured bacterium
Lineage: Bacteria
Description: partial 16S ribosomal RNA
Rfam family: Archaeal small subunit ribosomal RNA
Source: RNAcentral